GUGAACGCUCGCGGUAGGCCUAACACAUGCAAGUCGAACGGCAGCACAGUAAGAGCUUGCUCUUACGGGUGGCGAGUGGCGGACGGGUGAGGAAUACAUCGGAAUCUACUUUUUCGUGGGGGAUAACGUAGGGAAACUUACGCUAAUACCGCAUACGACCUACGGGUGAAAGCAGGGGAUCUUCGGACCUUGCGCGAUUGAAUGAGCCGAUGUCGGAUUAGCUAGUUGGCGGGGUAAAGGCCCACCAAGGCGACGAUCCGUAGCUGGUCUGAGAGGAUGAUCAGCCACACUGGAACUGAGACACGGUCCAGACUCCUACGGGAGGCAGCAGUGGGGAAUAUUGGACAAUGGGCGCAAGCCUGAUCCAGCCAUACCGCGUGGGUGAAGAAGGCCUUCGGGUUGUAAAGCCCUUUUGUUGGGAAAGAAAAGCAGCAGGUUAAUACCCCGCUGUUCUGACGGUACCCAAAGAAUAAGCACCGGCUAACUUCGUG
Molecule: ribosomal RNA, 491 nt
Filed under: uncultured bacterium
Lineage: Bacteria
Description: partial 16S ribosomal RNA
Rfam family: Bacterial small subunit ribosomal RNA
Source: RNAcentral